RNAcentral lists this ribosomal RNA (322 nucleotides) under Sandonidae sp. RNAcentral's name for it is "SSU rRNA". The stretch from base 112 to 322 matches the Rfam family "Eukaryotic small subunit ribosomal RNA", at positions 744 to 955 of the family's 1831-position model. Lineage: Eukaryota; Cercozoa; Glissomonadida; Sandonidae. The record is from RNAcentral. RNAcentral also lists the same sequence under 2 other names.
GAUUUCUGGCUUGUACCACUCGGCCGGCCACGGUUUCGUGUGUUAGUGCUGCGUGUUCUGGCCAUCCUUCCAAUCGCUGCAGGCUCUUCUUCAUUGAGGGGUUUGUGGUGUUGGAUCUUUUACUUUGAAAAAAUUAGAGUGUUUCAAGCAGGCUUUAUGCUAUGAAUACAUUAGCAUGGAAUAAUAAUUUAGGACUUCGGUUCUAUUUUGUUGGUUUCUAGGACUGAAGUAAUGAUUGAUAGGGAUAGUUGGGGGUGCUAGUAUUCAGCGGCCAGAGGUGAAAUUCUCGGAUUCGCUGAAGACUAACUUAUGCGAAAGCAUU